CUAUAGGGCCCGAUUCCGUCUGUGUGCUAGGUUGUCUGGGAGGCUAUGCUUGUGUGGGUUCCCUGGGUGCCUGCCUACAGGCAGGUGUCAGUUGCCGGGGUCAGCUGGGCGUGUUUCCUAGUGUCCCCUUCCCUCUUUAAUGUCCAGAAAUGGGGUUGGCAUCCUGUGUCCCCUGUGGGGGUAGUGGUUUGUGUUUGGUUCCUUUGGGGAGUGUAAGAGUAGCGGGGUCCCAUGGGUUCUGUGGUCAGCUGAAGUGGGUUCUUCUGGGGGUCUAGUAGUGGGCUCAUUAGCGGCUGGGCCCGGGGGUCCUAGU
Molecule: non-coding RNA, 313 nt
Organism: Pelobates cultripes (western spadefoot toad)
Lineage: Eukaryota; Metazoa; Chordata; Amphibia; Anura; Pelobatidae
Source: the annotation of a GenBank genome assembly